UUAAAUUGAAGAGUUUGAUCAUGGCUCAGAUUGAACGCUGGCGGCAGGCCUAACACAUGCAAGUCGAACGGUAACAGGAAGCAGCUUGCUGCUUUGCUGACGAGUGGCGGACGGGUGAGUAAUGUCUGGGAAACUGCCUGAUGGAGGGGGAUAACUACUGGAAACGGU
This 168-nucleotide ribosomal RNA is filed under the name Salmonella enterica subsp. enterica serovar Newport. RNAcentral describes it as "partial 16S ribosomal RNA". It matches the Rfam family "Bacterial small subunit ribosomal RNA", at positions 1 to 160 of the family's 1533-position model. The record is from RNAcentral. Lineage: Bacteria; Pseudomonadati; Pseudomonadota; Gammaproteobacteria; Enterobacterales; Enterobacteriaceae. RNAcentral also lists the same sequence under 3 other names.